RNAcentral lists this ribosomal RNA (1276 nucleotides) under uncultured bacterium. Its description in RNAcentral is "bacterial SSU rRNA". It matches the Rfam family "Bacterial small subunit ribosomal RNA", at positions 93 to 1380 of the family's 1533-position model. The record is from RNAcentral.
AGCUGGCGAAAGGGUGAGUAACACGUGAGCAACCUGCCCCCGAGUCCGGAAUAAGCGGUGGAAACGCCGUCUAAUGCCGGAUGAGGAGCGGUGCCUCCUGGCUCCGUUUCCAAAGAUUCAUCGCUUGGGGAUGGGCUCGCGCCCCAUUAGCUUGUUGGCGGGGUAACUGCCCACCAAGGCUACGACGGGUAGGUGGUCUGAGAGGAUGGUCACCCACACUGGGACUGAGACACUGCCCAGACUCCUACGGGAGGCUGCAGUCGAGAAUCUUCCGCAAUGGGCGCAAGCUGACGGAGCGAUGCCGCGUGAGGGAAGAAUGCCUUCGGGUUGUAAACCUCUGUCACCCGGGACGAAGACAAUGACGGUACCGGGGGAGGAAGUCACGGCUAACUACGUGCCAGCAGCCGCGGUAACACGGGGGUUGCGAGCGUUGUCCGGAAUUACUAGGCGUAAAGUGCAGGUAGGCGGAUAAAUAAGUUUAAGGUUAAAGGCUACGGCUUACCCGUAGUAAGGCGUUAGAUACUGUUUAUCUGGAAUGCGGUUGAGGGAGACAGAAUUCCUGGUGUAGCGGUGGAAUGCGCAGAGAUCAGGAGGAAUACCGAAGGCGAAGGCAGUCUUCUAAGCCGAUAUUGACGCUAAACUGCGAAGGUGUGGGGAUCAAACAGGAUUAGAUACCCUGGUAGUCCACACAGUAAACGAUAAUCACUAGGUGUUGGGUUCUUAAGAGGAUUCAGUGCCGGAGCUAACGCGAUAAGUGAUUCGCCUGGGGAGUACGAUCGCAAGGUUGAAACUCAAAGGAAUUGACGGGGGCCCGCACAAGCGGUGGAGCAUGUGGUUUAAUUCGACGCAACGCGAAGAACCUUACCCGGUCUUGACAUCUGCAGAAUUCUUCAGAGAUGGAGGAGUGCCGGUUUUACCGGAGCUGCAAGACAGGUGCUGCAUGGCUGUCGUCAGCUCGUGUCGUGAGAUGUUGGGUUAAGUCCCGCAACGAGCGCAACCCCUGCUUUCAGUUACCAUCAUUAAGUUGGGGACUCUGGAAGGACCGCUGCGGUAACAACGCAGAGGAAGAUGGGGACGACGUCAAGUCAUCAUGGUCCUUAUGACCGGGGCUACACACGUGCUACAAUGGUAGUUACAGAGGGAUGCGAAGCAGUGAUGUGGAGCGAAUCUCAGAAAAGCUACCACAGUUCGGAUUGAGGUCUGCAACUCGACCUCAUGAAGCAGGAAUCGCUAGUAAUCGCGCAACAUCAUGGCGCGGUGAAUACGUUCCCGGGCC